AGGGAGGUGGCUGAGUGGUUUAAAGUGUCAGGUUCCUAACCUGUUAUACAAGUAUAUUGUAUCGAGGGUUCAAAUCCCUUCCUCUCUU
RNAcentral lists this transfer RNA (88 nucleotides) under Neodangemannia microcystis. Its description in RNAcentral is "tRNA-Arg". It matches the Rfam family "tRNA". Rfam says of the family: Transfer RNA (tRNA) molecules are approximately 80 nucleotides in length. Their secondary structure includes four short double-helical elements and three loops (D, anti-codon, and T loops). Further hydrogen bonds mediate the characteristic L-shaped molecular structure. tRNAs have two regions of fundamental functional importance: the anti-codon, which is responsible for specific mRNA codon recognition, and the 3' end, to which the tRNAs corresponding amino acid is attached (by aminoacyl-tRNA synthetases). tRNAs cope with the degeneracy of the genetic code in two manners: having more than one tRNA (with a specific anti-codon) for a particular amino acid; and 'wobble' base-pairing, i.e. permitting non-standard base-pairing at the 3rd anti-codon position. Lineage: Eukaryota; Viridiplantae; Chlorophyta; Ulvophyceae; Oltmannsiellopsidales; Oltmannsiellopsidaceae. The record is from RNAcentral.